GCCGAACGCCUGAUCCAGGCUUCGCUUCGGAUAAACAGAAACGCCGCGGCCCUGGCCGCGGCGUUUUUCUUUGCGAGGGGUGGCG
This 85-nucleotide non-coding RNA is filed under the name Rhodobacteraceae bacterium PD-2. Its description in RNAcentral is "Proteobacterial sRNA sX6". It matches the Rfam family "Proteobacterial sRNA sX6", at positions 254 to 340 of the family's 342-position model. Lineage: Bacteria; Pseudomonadati; Pseudomonadota; Alphaproteobacteria; Rhodobacterales; Paracoccaceae. The record is from Rfam by way of RNAcentral.